This 1001-nucleotide ribosomal RNA is filed under the name Pediococcus pentosaceus. RNAcentral's name for it is "bacterial SSU rRNA". It matches the Rfam family "Bacterial small subunit ribosomal RNA", at positions 441 to 1438 of the family's 1533-position model. The record is from RNAcentral. Lineage: Bacteria; Bacillati; Bacillota; Bacilli; Lactobacillales; Lactobacillaceae.
AACGUGGGUAAGAGUAACUGUUUAGCCAGUGACGGUAUUUAACCAGAAAGCGACGGCUAACUACGUGCCAGCAGACGCGGUAAUAUCGUAGGUGGCCAGCGUUAUCCGGAUUUAUUGGGGGUAAACCGAGCGCAAGCGGUCGUAUAAGUCUAAUGUGAAAGCUUUCGGCUCAACCGAAGAAGUGCAUUGGAAACUGGGAGACUUGAGUGCAGAAGAGGACAGUGGAACUCCAUGUGUAGCGGUGAAAUGCGUAGAUAUAUGGAAGAACACCAGUGGCGAAGGCGGCUGUCUGGUCUGCAACUGACGCUGAGGCUCGAAAGCAUGGGUAGCGAACAGGAUUAGAUACCCUGGUAGUCCAUGCCGUAAACGAUGAUUACUAAGUGUUGGAGGGUUUCCGCCCUUCAGUGCUGCAGCUAACGCAUUAAGUAAUCCGCCUGGGGAGUACGACCGCAAGGUUGAAACUCAAAAGAAUUGACGGGGGCCCGCACAAGCGGUGGAGCAUGUGGUUUAAUUCGAAGCUACGCGAAGAACCUUACCAGGUCUUGACAUCUUCUGACAGUCUAAGAGAUUAGAGGUUCCCUUCGGGGACAGAAUGACAGGUGGUGCAUGGUUGUCGUCAGCUCGUGUCGUGAGAUGUUGGGUUAAGUCCCGCAACGAGCGCAACCCUUAUUACUAGUUGCCAGCAUUAAGUUGGGCACUCUAGUGAGACUGCCGGUGACAAACCGGAGGAAGGUGGGGACGACGUCAAAUCAUCAUGCCCCUUAUGACCUGGGGCUACACACGUGCUACAAUGGAUGGUACAACGAGUCGCGAGACCGCGAGGUUAAGCUAAUCUCUUAAAACCAUUCUCAGUUCGGACUGUAGGCUGCGGCUCUCCUACGCGAAGUCGGAAUCGCUAGUAAUCGCGGAUCAGCAUGCCGCGGCUGAAUACGUUCCCGGGCCUUGUACACACCGCCCGUCACACCAUGGGGAGUUUGUAACACCCAAAGCCGGUGGGGUAA